GACGAACGCUGGCGGCGUGCUUAACACAUGCAAGUCGAACGGAAAGGCCCUGCUUUUGUGGGGUGCUCGAGUGGCGAACGGGUGAGUAACACGUGAGUAACCUGCCCUUGACUUUGGGAUAACUUCAGGAAACUGGGGCUAAUACCGGAUAGGAGCUCCUGCUGCAUGGUGGGGGUUGGACAGUUUCGGCGGUUGGGGAUGGACUCGCGGCUUGUCAGCUUGUUGGUGGGGUAGUGGCUUACCAAGGCUUUGACGGGUAGCCGGCCUGAGAGGGUGACCGGCCACAUUGGGACUGAGAUACGGCCCAGACUCCUACGGGAGGCAGCAGUGGGGAAUAGUGCACAAUGGGCGGAAGCCUGAUGCAGCAACGCCGCGUGCGGGAUGACGGCCUUCGGGUUGUAAACCGCUUUCGCCUGUGACGAAGCGUGAGUGACGGUAAUGGGUAAAGAAGCACCGGCUAACUACGUG
RNAcentral lists this ribosomal RNA (468 nucleotides) under uncultured bacterium. RNAcentral's name for it is "partial 16S ribosomal RNA". It matches the Rfam family "Bacterial small subunit ribosomal RNA", at positions 28 to 507 of the family's 1533-position model. The record is from RNAcentral.